This 77-nucleotide transfer RNA is filed under the name Bacillota bacterium. RNAcentral describes it as "Firmicutes bacterium (anaerobic digester metagenome) tRNA-Arg". It matches the Rfam family "tRNA". From Rfam's summary of the family: Transfer RNA (tRNA) molecules are approximately 80 nucleotides in length. Their secondary structure includes four short double-helical elements and three loops (D, anti-codon, and T loops). The record is from RNAcentral. Lineage: Bacteria; Bacillati; Bacillota.
CUCCCCGUAGCUCAGCUGGAUAGAGCAACGGCCUUCUAAGCCGUGGGCCACAGGUUCGAAUCCUGUCGGGGAGGCCA